UCUCACGUUUAUUGGGGUUCACUGGCCUU
This 29-nucleotide non-coding RNA is filed under the name Rattus norvegicus (Norway rat). Lineage: Eukaryota; Metazoa; Chordata; Mammalia; Rodentia; Muridae. The record is from RNAcentral.